GUCAGGGGCAGGGUCUGGAGCAGGCACAUCCGAGACCAGUGAGCUCAGAACCUGUGUUGCUGAAUCAGUCUGCACCACAGAACCGCUAGUGGUGCUGUCAGAGCAGCGCCUCCGAGCUACAUGGCUGUCUUACUGGAUGUGGAUGGUGCUGCUCCUCCUGGCUCUCUACUUCAUCCUGCUGCUGGGGUUCUUCCUCUGGGGUCUGAAGGUUCCACACCACAGCUUCUGAUAUCUCACUUCUGCUGCACUGCAUCUCAGCUCUACACCACAGAGUUCUGGGAUUUAGCAGAUGCUUUUAUCCAAAGCAACUUGCAGUCAUGCAUAUUUUUACUUCUGUACCACUGAGGUCUAAGAACUGAAUUCUGAGCUAUGCACCACCAACAACUGAGAUAAACUGGGCAUGGCUUUGUGAAUGCAGGAGUUCCCAUAGUGUGGUCUGCAGUUGGGCUCUGCUCAACUACCAGAGUCUCUCGCUGUGCAGUGAGUUUAAGAGGGAUGAGAGUAACAGAGUUAAGAAUGUGCAGUAAACUCACUCCACAGCUAGCUUGAAAUAUCACCAACGGAUAGCAAACAGGAUCCUUUUCUAUAGCUCAAUUGGUUGGUACAGUACGUUGCUGUCACGCCUCCUCCCUUCCUCAGGCGCUCGAUGUUGUCGGUCUACUAAGCACUGGUCCUUGCAACCCACAUUGCGAACACCUGGCAAUCAUCAUUAUGCACACCUGGACUUCAUCACCACCCUGAUUACUAUUCCUUCAUAUAGCCCUCACCACCCUCAGUCAUCAGGCUGUAUUGGUUUUGUUUUCAUGUCUAGACGUGGCACUUGUUUUGUAACACGCUAUGUUCAUUAUUAUUAAACUCACCAUCUGCAA
Oncorhynchus masou masou (cherry salmon) is the source of this 869-nucleotide long non-coding RNA. RefSeq lists it as uncharacterized. The record is from RefSeq and is a predicted model, not a curated record. The transcript is spliced from 2 exons. NCBI's taxonomy places the organism in Eukaryota, Metazoa, Chordata, Actinopteri, Salmoniformes, Salmonidae.